CGGGCUGUGGCGCAGUUUGGUUAGCGCGCAUCACUGGGGGUGAUGAGGUCGCUGGUUCAAAUCCAGUCAGCCCGACCA
Molecule: transfer RNA, 78 nt
Filed under: Verrucomicrobiales bacterium
Lineage: Bacteria; Pseudomonadati; Verrucomicrobiota; Verrucomicrobiia; Verrucomicrobiales
Description: tRNA-Pro
Rfam family: tRNA
About the family: Transfer RNA (tRNA) molecules are approximately 80 nucleotides in length. Their secondary structure includes four short double-helical elements and three loops (D, anti-codon, and T loops).
Source: RNAcentral